UUCAUGUUUUUGUGGAGAAAAUAAAAACCCUAAAUCUUAUCUGGUGUUUCAUAAUUUAAAUUACUAUAAAAAAAGGUGGCACAUGUAAUUAAAGGAACAUAUUCAAUGUGUACUCCAAUUUGAGUACUAAUAUGAGCUUUAUUUGUUUUGAUCAAAACUGUAGGUACACUGGCAUAAGCCCAAUAAACUUUUGUUAACUGCUUGUAU
Molecule: long non-coding RNA, 207 nt
Organism: Helianthus annuus (common sunflower)
Lineage: Eukaryota; Viridiplantae; Streptophyta; Magnoliopsida; Asterales; Asteraceae
Exons: 2
Source: RefSeq, a predicted model, not a curated record